RNAcentral lists this ribosomal RNA (482 nucleotides) under uncultured bacterium. RNAcentral describes it as "partial 16S ribosomal RNA". It matches the Rfam family "Bacterial small subunit ribosomal RNA", at positions 30 to 507 of the family's 1533-position model. The record is from RNAcentral.
AUUGAACGCUGGCGGCAUGCUUUACACAUGCAAGUCGAACGGUAACAGGCCGCAUGCUGCUGACGUGUGGCGCACGGGUGUGUAAUGUACCUAAACGUCCCCCGUCGUGUGGGGUAUCUCCUCCAAAGAGUAGCUCAUACCCCGUACGCUCUCUGUUUGAGAGCGGGGGACCGCAUGGCAUCGCUCGAUUGGAGCUGCCGAUAUCGGAUUAGGUAGUUGGUGGGGUAAAGGCUCACCAAGGCAACGAUCUGUAACUGGUCUGAGAGGACGACCAGCCACACUGGGACUGAGACACGGCCCAGACUCCUACGGGAGGCAGCAGUGGGGAAUAUUGGACAAUGGGCGAAAGCCUGAUCCAGCAAUGCCGCGUGCAGGAAGAAGGUCUUCGGAUUGUAAAGUGCUUUAGGACGGAAGGAAGCGGAGCUGGUUAAUACCCGGGGAUAAUGACGGUACCGGAAGAAUAAGCACCGGCUAACUACGUG